AUUACCAUGAGACCUCGAAGUGCUUUGGGGGAAGUUAGAGGAACUCAAAUUCUACAAAAGGGUUCUUGUAAGAUCUGUAAACAUUUACAUGGUUCCUGGAAGAUCUCUUUUUUAAAAGUCAGCAUCUGGUGGAACCUGGAAGUUCUGUAAGGCCACAAUAAGAUGUACAGAUUUGAACAUGUAUUAUUAUUAUUAUUAUUAUUAUUAUUAUUUACUUAUUAUUAUACUUAAGUUUGAUUAAGUAGCCUAUAGCCUACAUAGGCCUACAUUUAUUCUGUAUAUUUUAUAGAUUAAUUUAAAGCUUAAAUAAUAAUAAUAAUAAUAAUAAUUAUUAUUAUUAUUAUUAUUUGAAGAAGAAACAAGAGGAGGAUAAAAAUGAUUAUGCUGUCACGGAACUGCUGCUAUUUCUCUGCUGCAUCGCUUCAGUGAUCCUCGCGCUGCUCGCGCGCGCAAAAAAGCUCACCUCAUCAUCAUCAUCAUCGGAUUUGAAAGUAACGGCUCCCCUCAUCAAAGCCUGCCGCCGCAUCCGCGGUUUGCUCGGCUAUCCGUUAUAAGAACAACCAUUUCUGAAAUAAUCUCGAUAUGUUAGAGUACCUGAACCACAUGGAUCUUGGCCUAGUAUGCUGAAACAAAAAUCCUCCUGUAGACCUGAAAAUCAUUGAAGUGCCUGGAUCAUCCACCUGAAAAGAGAAAAAAGAAGCCUAGCAGAAAACAAAGCUGCUGUACCUUUUUACUUUUCUGAUUAAUUACCUCAAAUGUACCUUGUGAAGAUUUUAUUAUUGAUUGGAUUUUAUGUUGCCGUGAGUACAAGUGCAGUCACAUUUGUGGCAUUUCUGUGAAAUCACGCAGGCAAAAAGGUCCUUUGAUCAUUAUCAGCAAUAUAGCGACAUAUUAUAUGACGCAGCUCACAUAGGAGUCGCUUUUAAUCAGCUUUCUGUUGGUCAAAUCUGGUGAAUUUGAGUAACCAACUUGGACACUUAGUGAAAUUUUUGACCACACAUGAAAUUAAUGAUUGUGUGGAUUUCUAUUGAAAUUACUGGAAUUCAUUCUCCAAACAGCAGCAAAUUUUACUGCACCUUGAAGGGUUAGUUCACCCAAAAAUAUAAUUUCUGUCAUUAAUGACUCACCCUCAUGUCAUUUCACACCCGUAAAACCUUUGUUCAUCUUCAGAACACAAAUUAAGAUAUUUUUGAUAAAAU
Long non-coding RNA from Megalobrama amblycephala (Wuchang bream), 1199 nucleotides. RefSeq lists it as uncharacterized. The transcript has 3 exons. The record is from RefSeq and is a predicted model, not a curated record. NCBI's taxonomy places the organism in Eukaryota, Metazoa, Chordata, Actinopteri, Cypriniformes, Xenocyprididae.